Pantherophis guttatus is the source of this 529-nucleotide long non-coding RNA. RefSeq lists it as uncharacterized. NCBI's taxonomy places the organism in Eukaryota, Metazoa, Chordata, Lepidosauria, Squamata, Colubridae. The record is from RefSeq and is a predicted model, not a curated record.
UAAGGUGGGCAGUCUCCUUUGGAUGGGAUGGGGAAGGGGAGAUACCUCGCCCCAUCAAUGGGUCCAGGGUUCACGCACAAGGCCGGACGCGGAGAAAACAUCAAAUGCUGAACUGACUUUACGGAAACAGGGCCACCGCCAUGGAUUUCCUGGAGACACCUCUACCAUCAUCACCGCAAUUGUCCCCGUUCCUGUCAUCUCCUAGUAGCCAAGUCGAGGCAGCACCGAGUGACAGUGGAUUUCUGGAGGCCGUCCUCAGUGGCCUCCGGAUGCUCAUAAGCAUCGUCGUGUUCCUGGGGCUUUGUGCUUUCACCGCCUACGUGGCCCUGCUCUGCACCACACUCUUCUUUGCCGCCCUCCAGGUCUUCUUCAGCACCCUCGUCCCAUCGGCGCUGCUCAUCUUCCAGUUUUUGCUGUCUGCCCUGCUUCUCCUCUUCUGCCUGCAGUGGAUGAGGGAGAUCCUGACCCUACAGUUUCGCUGCAAUGAACCUCUUUGAUGAGCCUAACUUGAAUAGAGCACCUUGGAGGA